AUUGAACGCUGGCGGCAUGCCUUACACAUGCAAGUCGAACGGUAACAGGUCUUCGGAUGCUGACGAGUGGCGAACGGGUGAGUAAUACAUCGGAACGUGCCCAGACGUGGGGGGAUAACGAGGCGAAAGCUUUGCUAAUACCGCAUACGAUCUAAGGAUGAAAGCAGGGGACCGCAAGGCCUUGCGCGUUUGGAGCGGCCGAUGGCAGAUUAGGUAGUUGGUGGGAUAAAAGCUUACCAAGCCGACGAUCUGUAGCUGGUCUGAGAGGACGACCAGCCACACUGGGACUGAGACACGGCCCAGACUCCUACGGGAGGCAGCAGUGGGGAAUUUUGGACAAUGGGCGAAAGCCUGAUCCAGCAAUGCCGCGUGCAGGAUGAAGGCC
This 385-nucleotide ribosomal RNA is filed under the name uncultured bacterium. Its description in RNAcentral is "bacterial SSU rRNA". It matches the Rfam family "Bacterial small subunit ribosomal RNA", at positions 30 to 416 of the family's 1533-position model. The record is from RNAcentral.